AUAACUACAUGGGCCGACAUUGUGGCCGUAGACCCAUUCAUACAAGGAAAACUCACCUGCACUGGCUGAUCUGGCUGAAGAACCCACUAGGUGCUGCACGGCAACUCUCUGAACUUCAGCUCCACUCGCUCCCCGAACUACCAAUAUCAAUACAACACUGAGUCUAACUGACCCCCGACAGACAAGCAAGUAAACUCUGGUCAAAGUCAAAGUCCUGGUCAACGUCAACCUUCCAGGUCAACCCUACUCGCCGAGUCACCCUAUUGACUCGCCGAGUUCAUAUGUUCAGAGUCCUUCUCUUUGCGACUCGACUCGCCGAGUCAGUCCAUGACUCGCCGAGUCUACCGAUUUCCGAGUCCUGACCUGUCCAACUCAUCGAGUCUCUAAUUGACUCACUGAUUCGAGUUUAAACUCGAAGGGUUUGGGGGGUUUCGCGACCUGACUCGCCGAGUCCAAGAACAGACAUGCCGAGUCCAAGACAACCUUCAGUAAACUCGCCGAGUUGUUCAUCCAACUCGCCGAGUUCCUACCCAACUUCAUCUGACUCGAUGAGCUGUUCAUCCCAUUCGUCGAGUUCCUCCUCAUCUUCAUGCUGCUCGCCGAGUCCACUCAAAGGACUCGCUGAGUCCAUUCAGAUCUCUAUACAUGCAGGGGACUUUUGAGUCAUGCAUGGACUCCAAACUGUAGAUCUACCCUUCCCAAGCCUAUUCCUCACAUAAAGUUGCAAACUUUACGUGUAGAGAAGGAGAUCUAGGAAAAAUACACCAUAAACUAGGGUUUAAGGCAAAGAGGCUCCAUAAUCAACUCAAGGGCUGAAACUUUAUGCUUUCCAAGACCAAAAUACACUUAGAUCUGAAGUAGCAACUCCAGAUCCGGCUUCUAACUCACAUGGGUCACUACCCAUGGCUAAAAGCCCCAAAACUCACAACCCAAAAUAGAUCUAAAGGAAGGGAAACGACUUAAUACCUUCAGAUGUUCAGAAAUAUCUCCCCAAUCUCAGAUCUAUAGCCCCCUCCUUGCACCUUCAAGAUCCUUCUUCUUUUUCCAAGCUUUAAAGCACUCCUCAAGAUAAUAAUUAGCUCAAAAAUGGAUAUGGCGGCUAGGGUUUGGUGUUCUGGGUUAGAGGGGAUGCAAAGGAACCCUAGGGGAGAGAAUGAGGUGAUUGAAUAGGCCCCAAGUCCCGAAUUUAGGGUUUUCCUCAAACAGACCUNCCGUGUCUCCUUGGCCGACUCGUCGAGUCGGUCACUUACUCCUCGACCCGGAUCCCGCUUGGACUCGCCGAGUUCUUCCUUGGACUCGCCGAGUCCCCCUUAAAGUUAGGGUUUUCUUUCCUUUCUUGGCGUUUAAAACUUUGGGUGUUACAACUCUCCCCCACUUAAACUAAACUUCGUCCUCGAAGUUUGCUAUGGCCCACCGUCUGGGCUCUGCUUCCAAAACCCACCAACUACCCCAACACCAGCUGUCUACCUUCGCUGUUCUUCCACCCGGUCAUUCUGACUAAUAUAAUCCUCGCGGAUAAAAACCUCGGGUCAAACCUGACCUUGAACAACUUAGAAACACAACUUACUCAAUCGACCAUCCUUCUGGUGCUCUCCUAGUACUGCACUUGAACUCAUAGGGGUUGACCCCUUCUUUCCUUUCGCGAUUCUCUUGCCUUCCCAAGGCGAUGCUCCACAACCAACUAUUUCCUCUGUCACUGUGAAGAUCCUAUCUUCACCAAUCCAUCAUCCCCACUAUGUCCAGUAUGGGUCAUCACCGUCAGUAACCACUGACACUCUUCUCUAUCAAAACCUGGUGUCGAGCACCCCUCGAUUCAACUAACUGAAUUCCACCAUACACUGCUUACCCGCAGUACUACUGACUGAAAAUCCUGCUAUUCCUUUCCUGCCUUCCGUAUGAACUGAGACCACACUGGUCCCUACCAACCUAUCAAUGUCUGGAUUACCGGCUCCCACCGGUAGCUAGUCCCGACACCACCACUAGUCUCUCCCAGCGACUUCCGAAGAAACUUCGACCACCUUUAACUGCUCAACUUAUUCUGCCAUUCAGGAACUACAAUCCUGGGAUCCCCGAUCCCCUAACUUGACUCUAAGGUCCCUACCAGGUCCCACCUGCGUUGCUAAAACUCAUGGGCCUCGCCCACGGGUCCCACCCGCCUCUAUCCUUCUAGUCCCACUAAUCUAAUCACUCUCGCUCGGGCCUCGCCCAAGGGUCUCACCCAACCAUAUCCUGGAGCGGCCUCCCAAGGUCUCACCUCUCUAGGGCUAUAUAGGCAAACUCCCUAUCAUUCUCAUCCACUACCCAUUCCUGAUCCCCGUCCGAUCACUAGGAGGUAAGGGCCUCGCCCCAACUCCGCUAUCGAAGCUACUAAGGAAUGCUACGACUUACCCGUAGUCUUACAUCACCAUCCAUUGCUGACUGCUAGUGAAUGCUACAGCUGCUCCGUAGUCUUACAUCACUUCCACCACUAACUGCUAGUGAAUGCUACGACUGCCCCGUAGUCUUACAUCACUUUCUACCAAUAAAUACUAAUGCGAAGGCACCCAUGUGCCAUUAGCUCUCAAGAUCCUCAUUCCGACUCUCUCGAGUCCUACGGGCGAUUCACAGCCUGAAUUCCCAACCAUGAACUAACCAUUGCCAUCACAUGCACUAGCUAAUGGGGAGUUUCUCAAACUCCUAACCCUGAAGUCCUCAAUCCAUCAAAUGCUGAACCACUUCUUUUCCUUCUCGGAGGUCGCACACUCAUUCUGGGUCUGCGUGCUCCUACCUUUUCACACUCGGAGGAUUCUCCCCCACUUCGAUCCCGCUUACCCCUUGUUGCUCAAUACUCAAAAGAAAUCCUUGCUACCAUUCCAUAAUCGAUCUGCUGAGGAACCCAAGCUCACCAUAGCUAGGGAUCUAACCAAUCCAUUUCUAACACUAUACAACUCCGAUCUAGCGAGACAUACCAAGUCCCUCCCAAGCAUGCUACAGUUAUUGCAUCCUAUGUAACCUUCUCCAAUAGGGCACAUCCCCUCACUACCCUUCGAAUAACCAAGGUAUGCAGAUGGCAUAUAACUCGAUCACAAUCAAAUGAUCAAAAAUAAAGUACUCAUACCGAUAAUGAUGCAAGACCAUAACAAUAUAAUCAUGCACAAAUAAAAGAACUGAAAACAGACAUCGUAUACCUGCAACGUCUGGUGCUGAUCGCGCCUCCAAGGUAGUCAUCUGAAGAGCUCUGCCUCCUACCGCAGGCGCCUCUGCACGGCCUGACGGCCGUCUGUGAUCCUCAAAGUUGCAGGGGNCAUCACCCGUCCUACUAAAAACAAACUGGGGCACUGGGCCUUCUUGUGGCCCCGCUGGUUGCAGUGAAAACAUAACAGGUCUGAUCCCUAUGAGGUGGUAACAGUACAAUCCCUGCUGAAAUGACCAGCCCGACCGCACUUGACACAGCCAGAAUCACCACCGCUACCACUCCUGCACGCGCCCCCAUGCUCCCUACCACACUUCCUGCACCGGCUGCGGUCCUGAUAAUCCCUCGAUCUCGAAUCCGAUCCCUUGGGCCUUUUGCCCGAACCUGCAGUUACCUGAACCUCAUCCGGCUUCCUCUUUCGGAUUUGCUCUAAAUCAAUCUCCCUCUCUCUAGCCCGAGAAAUCAUAUGUUCCAGCGUCUUACAACUGGAUCUGCUCACGAACUCCUUGAUGUCAUCCCUCAACAUCUCAUGGUAUCGGGCCUUCUUCAUCUCCUCAUCCGCGACAUACUGCGGUACAAGAAGAGCCCUCUCCCUGAACUUGGCAGUGAUCUCCGCCACAGUCUCAGUGGUCUGCGCCAAAUCUUGAAACUCCCGUGCCAACUGCUGCAUCUCAAUAAUCGGCGAAAACUCCGCCUUGAACCUGGCCGAGAAAUCGCUCCAACUCAUCGCGUCCAACGCCUCAUCAUCCCGCAAAGCAUGACCAAUCUCCUCCCACCAAUCUCUCGCUCUGUCCUUCAGAAGACAGGAAGCGAGUCUGACCUUGUCCCCCUCAGGGCACCGGCUCGUACGGAAUGCGUUGGCAACAUCAGCCAACCAUCUGCUGCUAGCGAUGGGGUCCCUAGCCCCAUGAUAAUCUGGUGCCCCGCAAGCCCUGAACUCCCGAAAUGUCAAGGUACGCGCUCCCAUCAAAGCCAUCAUCUCAGUACGGAAGGCUCCCAGCCUCUCAUCCAAAAUCUCCAAUAUACCCUCCUUGACCGUGCCAAAGAUCACAGGAGUCUGAUUCAAAAUACUGCGCGUAACCUCGGCGGAUAUCAACUCCCUCAUUCGCUCCUCGAGCUGCUCGGCCCCUGAACCCGAGCCUGAUCCCUCUCCGGCGCCUGAUCCGCCCACUGGUCUCUCUCGCAACGUCACCAUGCUGAAAAUAUACCACAACCACUAUCAGAAUACUCAUCACUGAUGCGAGACCAAACACACCCUACCAGGUUCCCGGUCUUGUCUCGGCCUUUCCCGAAUCGAGUACGGAUCCUCUGCUUUCAGUAGUACGGGCCCAUACUACCUUCCACAUCUAUCCGUACUUUCCUCAGGAAUUGCUUUGACUCCACCAGGUCCCUUAUCCACUACUACUGCUCCCAGCACUAUCUCAUCCUAGGCUUACCCUAGGAAAACCUCUGACUCAACUCAACCCGUCCUCAGCUGCUGAAGGUCUCCUUGUGAUGCCAAUUAGCCAUCACCUGGAUACCAUCACAUGUGACGAGGCUCAGAUAAUCCUUCAAGUAAAAGACUCGUCCCUACAACGGUUGGACUCAAACAAGAGCUGCGCAAUAGGACCAAAUCCAACACUCUGAGAUUAUUCAACCCUGAUCACAUGUGACGUGUCGUAUCCACCUAAUGGCUAACUCCCAUCACUCAGUAUCCCACAAUGCACAAAUCAAACAACAUUCAGACAAGGGAAAAUCUAACCACAACAUACUCAAGCAAUCAUAUUCACAUAGCAAGAAAUUGAACUAGCAUGCAACACAAACUCAUAAACUCAGGCAUAACCUAAACAGGCUAUCCUACCACUGUCUAAUCAGCACUAUCAUGCAGCUCAAAACACAUAUAAUAGGCACAUAAGGCAUCAUCCCUAGAUCCUUAGUCCUAAUCUAGCAUGCUGUUCUAUCAACUGAUAAUCAUAACAUAAAUUGUAUGGGUAUUUUGGGGUACUUACUUGAGCUCGGUUGAUUGCAUGCACCACACACUUUUUCUCUUUUCAAAGUUCUUUUCUUUAUGGAUUAUUCUUGCUUUUCUAAAACUGUUUUCCUUCCCAAAACUCUCUUUUACAAAACUGUCCUCUUUAUUUUGAAAACUGCUAAACCGAUUCCUCAGUUUGAGUUCAAACACACUCGAGAGCAUGUCCGAAUCCCUCAAACCAAGGCUCUGAUACCAACUUGUAACGUCCCAAAAAUUAAGGCUAAAAAUUUCUUUUAAUAAAACAUUACUUAAAGAAAAUUCAUCAUUUCAAAACAUAAGCUGAGUAUUAGUUUCCAAAAUACAUGUUCGUUAUCAGAGUAAACAUUCCCAGACUGUCUAAUCUAUGGUGUGUGCCAUGCGAUCACCCCGAGCUCUUCCCUCCGCUACCGGAAGUACCUGAAACCAAAACUGAAAACCGUAAGCACAACGCUUAGUGAGUUCCCCACCCUACAACAUACCAUGCAUAACCACAUACUGCACAUACUGGGCCACGCUCGCUAUCCUGGGCCUCGCCCACCUACCUCGGGUCUCGCCCGCUACAACGGCCCUGCCGCUCCAGUCCCCGCCUGGCUUCGAGCCCCGCUCGGAUACAAAUCUGUUUCACUUAGGCCCCGCCUGUCACAGGGCCUCGCCCACUAACAUAUAAUAGCACAUAAACAUAUCACAUUUCAUCACAUAAGCUAAACACAUACUAACGGAUCCUGUCCUAAGGCCUUGCCUAUCUCUGGGCCCCACCCUUAUCCUGCUGCUGAUGAGUCAUGGAACCCCGUCCAUACUCUUACUGAUAAUGAGGUACGGACCCAACCUACCCUCACUCCUUCCCUAACUUGGGCCUCGCCCCUGAUCUGCUGCUACUGAGAUGUGGAACACCAUCCACACUCUGCUAUUGGUGAGAUACGGGACCUCGCCCACACUCACCUCCCUACCAGGCACAUACAAGUAUCACACAGACAACAAGUAUAAACUAUCACAUAAACCAUUCCUUGGGCACCCGCCCUCUAUCAUUGGACCUCGUCCCGAAUAUCAUACUAGCAUACUGUGCCUAGGGCUAACCCCCGGGUCUUCUACUCAUAACUACAUGGGCCGGCAUUGUGGCCGUAGACCCAUUCAUACAAAGGGAAACUCACCUGCACUGGCUGAACUUGCUGAUGAUCCCACUAGCUGCUGCCCGACAACUCUCUGAACUCCUGCUCCACUCGCUCCCCGAGCUACCAAUAUCAAUGCAACACUGAGUCUAACUGACCCCCGAAAGACUACCAAGUUAACUCUGGUUAAAGUCAAAGUCCUGGUCGAAGUCAACCUUCCAGGUCAACCCUACUCGCUGAGUCACCCUAGGGACUCGCCGAGUUCAUAUGUUCAGAGUCCUUCUCUUUGCGACUCGACUCGCCGAGUCAGUCCAUGACUCGCCGAGCCUACCGAUUUCCGAGUCCUGACCUGUCCAACUCACCGAGUCUCCAAUCGACUCACUGAUUCGAGUCUAAACUCGAAGGGUUGGGGGGGUUUCACGCCCUGACUCACCGAGUCCAAGAACAGACUCGCCGAGUCCAAGACAACCUUCAGUAAACUCGCCGAGUUCCUACCCAACUUCAUCUGACUCGACGAGUUGUUCAUCCCACUCGUCGAGUUCCUCCUCAUCUUCAUCCUGCUUGCCGAGUCCACUCGAAGGACUCGCCGAGUCCAUUCAGAUCUCUAUA
Molecule: long non-coding RNA, 6877 nt
Filed under: Lactuca sativa (garden lettuce)
Lineage: Eukaryota; Viridiplantae; Streptophyta; Magnoliopsida; Asterales; Asteraceae
Description: long non-coding RNA (LSAT_LNC005029)
Source: RNAcentral